GCCGCUGUGGUGGAAUUGGCAGACGCGCCUGACUCAAAAUCAGGUGGGGGCAACCCCGUGCCGGUUCAAUUCCGGCCAGCGGCA
This 84-nucleotide transfer RNA is filed under the name Candidatus Margulisiibacteriota bacterium. Its description in RNAcentral is "tRNA-Leu". It matches the Rfam family "tRNA". Rfam says of the family: Transfer RNA (tRNA) molecules are approximately 80 nucleotides in length. Their secondary structure includes four short double-helical elements and three loops (D, anti-codon, and T loops). Lineage: Bacteria; Bacillati; Candidatus Margulisiibacteriota. The record is from RNAcentral.